AGUGAACGCUGGCGGUAGGCCUAACACAUGCAAGUCGAACGGCAGCACAGUAAGAGCUUGCUCUUACGGGUGGCGAGUGGCGGACGGGUGAUGAAUACAUCGGAAUCUACUUUUUCGUGGGUGAUAACGUAGGGAAACUUACGCUAAUACCGCAUACGACCUACGGGUGAAAGCAGGGGAUCUUCGGACCUUUCGCGAUUGAAUGAGCCGAUGUCGGAUUAGCUAGUUGGCGGGGUAAAGGCCCACCAAGGCGGCGAUCCGUAGCUGGUCUGAGGGGAUGGACAGCCACACUGGAACUGAGACACGGCCCAGACUCCUACGCGAGGCCGCAGUGGGGAAUCUUAGGCAAGGGGCGAAAGCGUGAUCCAGCCAUACCGCGUAGGUGCAGAAGGAGUUCGGGUUGUAAAGCGCUGUUGUUGGGAGAGAAGAGAAGCAGGUUCAUCCCGCGCUGUAAUGACGGUACCCAAAGAAGAAGCACCGGCUAACUUCGUG
This 492-nucleotide ribosomal RNA is filed under the name uncultured bacterium. RNAcentral's name for it is "partial 16S ribosomal RNA". It matches the Rfam family "Bacterial small subunit ribosomal RNA", at positions 29 to 507 of the family's 1533-position model. The record is from RNAcentral.